GACGAACGCUGGCGGCGUGCUUAACACAUGCAAGUCGAACGGUAAGGCCCUUCGGGGUACACGAGUGGCGAACGGGUGAGUAACACGUGGGUGAUCUGCCCUGCACUUCGGGAUAAGCCUGGGAAACUGGGUCUAAUACCGGAUAGGACUACUGCCUGCAUGGGUGGUGGUGGAAAGCUUUUGCGGUGUGGGAUGGGCCGGCGGCGUAUCAGCUUGUUGGUGGGGUGAUGGCCUACCAAGGGGACGACGGGUGGCCGGCCUGAGCGGGUGACCGGACACACUGGGCAGGGGCUACGGCACGGACUCGUAAGGGAGGGAGGGGUGGGGAAUAUUGGACAGUGGGAGCAAGCCUGAUGCAGCGACGCCGCGUGAGGGAUGUCGGCCGUCGGGUUGUAAUCCUAUUUCAGCACCGACGAAGCGCAAGUGACGGUAGGUGCAGAAGAAGGACCGGCCAACUACGUGCCAGCCGCCGCCGUAA
Molecule: ribosomal RNA, 478 nt
Filed under: uncultured bacterium
Lineage: Bacteria
Description: partial 16S ribosomal RNA
Rfam family: Bacterial small subunit ribosomal RNA
Source: RNAcentral